Molecule: long non-coding RNA, 2211 nt
Organism: Dermochelys coriacea (leatherback sea turtle)
Lineage: Eukaryota; Metazoa; Chordata; Testudines; Dermochelyidae
Exons: 3
Source: RefSeq, a predicted model, not a curated record
UCUAGAGAGGCCAUUUUGCAACUGGUGACUGCUUGCUGCAUUCUCUAUCUUCUAACUGGGGAAAGUUUGUGUAAUCCAGCCCUUAAUAGGGGGAUGGCUUCAUAGAUCACUGCUCAUUACAUCCUGGCAUGGCAACCACAGUGAUUGCCGACAUGGAAAACUCAGGAAAGUACUUAAUGAAAUGUAGCAGCUGGAAACAAAGAAAGAGAACUAACACCAGGGCUGGAAUUUUUGAAGUUACCCAACACUACCCAAUUCUCUGAGUGUCAAAGUCCCCUAAAGGGCUUUGAAAGUCUCACCCAUGUGACCAGACAUCUCUACAGACUACUGACAAGUAUUCCAUGGACCAUAGUUUGAGAUAUCCUCUUCUAAGGAAGUCUCUGUAGCAUGGAUUGACAUUUAUAAAUAGUCUUGACAUCUAAACCAGACAGCAAGGUGGUUGGAGAGCUCUUCCAUUACGUUCUAAAUGUGGCAUCUUAGGGACGUCCUGCUCUUUCCAUCACCACAUAGUUUGCCAAAGGUGGAAUUUGCUUUUGUAAUUUAGCAUUGUGGAAAAGUAUAAGCUGGUAGGAUAUUCUCAAACUAGCAUCCCUUGGGAAUGUUACUAUGUGGAGUUUUGGAAAACUGUCUGCCACAGAGUUUACUUUUUUUUUUUUUUAAAUAAUCAGUUUUAUAGGCCAGAGUGUAGAGGUUGCUCGAAUGUACUGCAGUCAGUUUCCCUUUCUAUAAACAUCAGAUUUGCAUCCCAAAUUCCAAGAAAGAAAUGGCAAAGCUCUGCUCUCCUGGCUUACUUAUCUAGCUAGAGUUAAAUUUUGCUAGCAGGGAAAAAAAAAAUCUUCCUGGAAAAUGGACACAGUGCAGUGAGUUACCUAAUAAGAAAGGAGUUAAGUUGUGAUAGCGUUGCUGGUCCCAGAACCACAUUCUUCUUGUUACUCUCUGCCAUCCAUUGACCCAGAAAACCAGAGAUAACUAGCGUUAAUGAUGCUGCAUGUCUUUUAGUCCCUUUUGUGACUCUGAGGAUACAUCUGGCCUGUUCCGUGAAGGCCAAACUCACAGGCCAUACGACAUGUAUAGUAUAUGCAGAAAGAUUUGCAACUCAUGAGUUUCCAUGUACUCUAUGUUCAUUUGUCUUUAGGUAUUUUUAGUUCUCUGUGUAAGUAUUUUACAUGUUCUACAAUAUAGCACAUUUAGGGCCAGAUCCAACACCCAAGGAAGUCGAUGUGAGUUUUUCCAUUGUCUUUGGUGGCAGUUGAAUCAGGCCCCCAGAGCUGUGAGAAACACCUAAGGGAAGCUUAAGGAAUAAAUUACUUAAUGGGUCAAGAUGAAAAUACAGCAUCUCUCUGGUAUUCCAUAAUCCUCCAUGUACUCAGUGAUACUGUAUGUCAGAUAUUGGAGACUAGAGUCUGUUAUCCCCUAAAUCCCAUUACCCACAUCUAUGCCAAACCCUGGGGACCAUCAUCUCUUUACAUCAUUUCUGUAAGCACUGUGACUAAGAGAUAUUAGUUCUGGGAAUCAGAAAAUGUUAAAUGGUGAAGUCAUUUGCUGCAUCCUCUCCCUUCCGGGGCAUGAUGCUUCCAGACAUGACAACAUUCAAGACAGAAAGGAACACCAGUUCACAGAUAGGUUAAAUAUCCAGCAUGAAGGCCUGUAGAUACUCUUAUGCAUGCAACAUUCACCCAACCCUUGAGGCUCAGCUCUGGUUGCUAUUUCUUUCAAAUAGGCUGUUCCUACCUCAAUGCUACUUUGAAAGGGUGGUCUAAUUAGAACUACAGGUUCCUUACCGUACAGUCUCCAUGAGUACAUAUUACCUCCCUGGGAAUCUGACCGUUUGCUGAUGUCCGAAUUUUGCAACCGUUCACAACGGUGCACAGUGAGGACCUUACAAAACAAAAAUCCCUGUAUCUAUUAUGUUAGAAGAAGGAGAAGAGGUUAUAAGUAGAGUGAGCUGAGAAACAGUCAGUUCUUUGGAUGGAAAUUUUUGAAAAAAAAUUCUUCAUAACUUCCAAAUUUCCAUUUUUGAUGGAAAAAUGAUCCCCCCCCCAAUUUGUUUCCAUAUUUGCCCCUCUUUGCCUUCUUCCCUCCCCCUCUUGAUUCUUUUUUUCCAUUUUGACAUGAGAAAAGGAAGAAAAAUGGAGAGAAGCGGGGAAGGAAAAUAAAAACCAAUUUUUGUUUGGUAUUUUUCCAUUGAAAAACUGGACAAAUUUGAAAGAC